GAUGAACGCUGGCGGCGUGCUUAACACAUGCAAGUCGAACGGAAAGGCUCGACCGUGCCGGGGUACUCGAGUGGCGAACUUGUGAGUAACACGUGGGUGAUCUGGCGUGCACUUCGUGAUAAGUCCGGGAAACUGGGACUAAGACCGGAUAGUACGAUGCUCUGGAGGCCAUAGUGGCAAGUUAUUCGGGGGGGGAUGAUCUCGCGGCCUAUCAGCUUGUUGGUGGGGUAUUGGCCUAGCACGGCGUCGACGGGUAGCCGGCCUGAGGGGGGGAUCGGCCACAUUGGGACUGAGAUACGGCCCAGACUCAUACGGGAGGCAGCAGUGGGGAAUAUUGCACAAUGGGCGGAAGCCUGAUGCAGCGCAGCCGCGUGGGGGAUGACGGCAUUCGGGUUGUAAACUCCUUUCGCUUGGGACGAAGCGAAAGUGACGGUACCUGGGGAAGAAGCACCGGCUAACUACGUG
RNAcentral lists this ribosomal RNA (465 nucleotides) under uncultured bacterium. RNAcentral describes it as "partial 16S ribosomal RNA". It matches the Rfam family "Bacterial small subunit ribosomal RNA", at positions 28 to 507 of the family's 1533-position model. The record is from RNAcentral.